RNAcentral lists this ribosomal RNA (540 nucleotides) under uncultured bacterium. RNAcentral describes it as "bacterial SSU rRNA". It matches the Rfam family "Bacterial small subunit ribosomal RNA", at positions 777 to 1314 of the family's 1533-position model. The record is from RNAcentral.
AAUAGAUACCCGGGUAGUCCAUGCCGUAAACGUUGGGAACUAGAUGUAGGGCCUGUUCCACGGGUUCUGUGUCGUAGCUAACGCAUUAAGUUCCCCGCCUGGGGAGUACGGCCGCAAGGCUAAAACUCAAAGGAAUUGACGGGGGCCCGCACAAGCGGCGGAGCAUGCGGAUUAAUUCGAUGCAACGCGAAGAACCUUACCAAGGCUUGACAUACACCAGAACACCGUAGAAAUACGGGACUCUUUGGACACUGGUGUACAGGUGGUGCAUGGUUGUCAUCAGCUCGUGUCGUGAGAUGUUCGGUUAAGUCCGGCAACGAGCGCAACCCUCGUCCUAUGUUGCCAGCACGUGAUGGUGGGAACUCAUGGGAUACUGCCGUGGUCAACACGGAGGAAGGUGGGGAUGACGUCAAAUCAUCAUGCCCCUUAUGUCUUGGGCUUCACGCAUGCUACAAUGGCCGGUACAAAGGGCUGCGAUACCGCAAGGUGGAGCGAAUCCCAAAAAGCCGGUCUCAGUUCGGAUUGGGGUCUGCAACUCCG